GAUGAACGCUGGCGGCGUGCUUAACACAUGCAAGUCGAGCGAGAAGUUUUGAAAAGAUUCUUCGGAUGAAAUUUAAAAUGGAAAGCGGCGGACGGGUGAGUAACGCGUAGGCAACCUGCCCCAUACAAAGGGAUAGCAUUUGGAAACGAAUAUUAAUACCUUAUGAAACUUAACUAGUGCAUGCUAGGUAGGUCAAAGAUUUAUCGGUAUGGGAUGGGCCUGCGUCUGAUUAGCUAGUUGGUGAGGUAACGGCUCACCAAGGCGACGAUCAGUAGCCGACCUGAGAGGGUGAACGGCCACAUUGGAACUGAGACACGGUCCAAACUCCUACGGGAGGCAGCAGUGGGGAAUAUUGCACAAUGGGGGAAACCCUGAUGCAGCAACGCCGCGUGAACGAUGAAGGCCUUUGGGUCGUAAAGUUCUGUUCUGGGUGAUGAAAACUACAGUAACCUAGGGGAAAGCCAAACUAACUCCC
Molecule: ribosomal RNA, 475 nt
Filed under: [Eubacterium] brachy
Lineage: Bacteria; Bacillati; Bacillota; Clostridia; Peptostreptococcales; Anaerovoracaceae
Description: bacterial SSU rRNA
Rfam family: Bacterial small subunit ribosomal RNA
Source: RNAcentral